GAUGAACGCUGGCGGCGUGCCUAAUACAUGCAAGUCGAGCGAACGGACGAGAAGCUUGCUUUUCUGAUGUUAGCGGCGGACGGGUGAGUAACACGUGGAUAACCUACCUAUAAGACUGGGAUAACUUCGGGAAACCGGAGCUAAUACCGGAUAAUAUUUUGCACCGCAUGGUUCAAAAGUGAAAGACGGUCUUGCUGUCACUUAUAGAUGGAUCCGCGCUGCAUUAGCUAGUUGGUAAGGUAACGGCUUACCAAGGCAACGAUGCAUGGCCGACCUGAGAGGGUGAUCGGCCACACUGGAACUGAGACACGGUCCAGACUCCUACGGGAGGCAGCAGUAGGGAAUCUUCCGCAAUGGGCGAAAGCCUGACGGAGCAACGCCGCGUGAGUGAUGAAGGUCUUCGGAUCGUAAAACUCUGUUAUUAGGGAAGAACAUAUGUGUAAGUAACUGUGCACAUCUUGACGGUACCUAAUCAGAAAGCCACGGCUAACUACGUG
This 497-nucleotide ribosomal RNA is filed under the name uncultured bacterium. RNAcentral's name for it is "partial 16S ribosomal RNA". It matches the Rfam family "Bacterial small subunit ribosomal RNA", at positions 28 to 507 of the family's 1533-position model. The record is from RNAcentral.